Long non-coding RNA from Heteronotia binoei (common prickly gecko), 170 nucleotides. RefSeq lists it as uncharacterized. The record is from RefSeq and is a predicted model, not a curated record. NCBI's taxonomy places the organism in Eukaryota, Metazoa, Chordata, Lepidosauria, Squamata, Gekkonidae. The transcript has 2 exons.
CCAUUAAGCAGACUAAGCACGUGCUUAGGGCACCAGGGCCAAAGGGGACACCACAAAGUUGGGAAAAGGAUGUUGUAUUGCAUUUUUGUAGAACUUUAUGUAGCCCAAACUUGGCUUUGUUUGUACAGUAUAUUGUGUUAUCAUAUGAAUAAAUUUUUGUAUUGCUGCAA